This 77-nucleotide transfer RNA is filed under the name Pectobacterium phage POP15. Its description in RNAcentral is "tRNA-Leu". It matches the Rfam family "tRNA". Rfam says of the family: Transfer RNA (tRNA) molecules are approximately 80 nucleotides in length. Their secondary structure includes four short double-helical elements and three loops (D, anti-codon, and T loops). Further hydrogen bonds mediate the characteristic L-shaped molecular structure. tRNAs have two regions of fundamental functional importance: the anti-codon, which is responsible for specific mRNA codon recognition, and the 3' end, to which the tRNAs corresponding amino acid is attached (by aminoacyl-tRNA synthetases). tRNAs cope with the degeneracy of the genetic code in two manners: having more than one tRNA (with a specific anti-codon) for a particular amino acid; and 'wobble' base-pairing, i.e. permitting non-standard base-pairing at the 3rd anti-codon position. Lineage: Duplodnaviria; Heunggongvirae; Uroviricota; Caudoviricetes. The record is from RNAcentral.
GCAUCUUUAGCCCAAUUGGCAGAGGCGCUCCAUUCAAAAUGGAGAUGUUCCUGGUUCGAAUCCUGGAAGAUGCACCA